CUUGCUGUUUUCCUUUUCUUUUUCUGCUUCUUUGAUGUGCUCUGUCCAUCGGUUUGUGCUUUCCUCUGCCUAAACUGGGCAAGCUUGGCUUUGCCAGCCUCCAGCUUCUUCAGCCGCUCCUCGUCCUCCAUGGCGUCCGUGCGGGGAGAACAGAGCGUUAUGGGCGGCGGCAGGCGGGCACACCCCCCUCAGCCGAGACACAAGCAGCUCGCUGUACUGUCCUGUCCCGUCUCACAGCGACGACAGCUGCCGUGGCGGGGACGCCGGCGCCGCCAUCUUCAUCUCCACGUAAACACGCGGCCGGGGAAAGUGACGUGGCUGCCUGCUCCUCCUCCCGCCGCCAUCCCUCCCCUUUCCGCCCAGCCCCAGCCGCAGCGCCCCCGGCCCGGCCCGGCCCGUGUUCAGCCCAGUCCCGCCGAGGUGCCCCCGGGGCGGCGGUGCUGCACCGCCGGAUCCCACAGUUCCGAGCCCGGCCGCGGGCGCCGCCGAGGGCGAGCGGCGAGGGCAGCGGCGCGGCACACCCCCUCCACCCCCCUGCUCGGGGCGGGGGGCUGCCUCUCGCACAAAGGACUGGUGUUGGGAAGAGUCUGCUGCUUGGCGUGCCUUUAAUGUCUGAAGUAACGCUGCCCGCGCUCUGCAGCGCUGCUGCCUUCUGCCGUCUCGCAGGUCCGCCCUCUGUGACUGCAGUGCUCAUUUUGGCAGUUUUAAUUCUCUUAAGUGUUUUCUUGUUCCUACAUGUGGCUCAGCUUCACGUUGCGUGGGUCUGAACCGUGGAGAGAUAGGAACGAGCUUUGUGUCAUACUGCACAAAGCUGACAACAAAGGAUGUGCGGUCCCCCUGCCUGAAUCACCGAAUACAGGCUCAUCGUGUCACAGAACCUGAAACAGCUGUGUUAAAAUCACAAUGGGGAAUUUGACACACGGCUAUUAAAUGCUAAUAGGAUUUCUAUACCCCAUCAUUCGAUACAAAGCCGUAUUCUUUAUAUUGCUUAAUUAUUGCUUAAUACUGUCUCCUAAAUGUGCGACUUGCAUAGCUAAUAGCAAAUUUGCGUUGCGUGUUUGCUAUGUGCUUUUUCUUUCGGUUGCUCAUGAAGUCAGUUCCAUUUCUGGUGCUGUGAUGAAUGGCUCUGUGUCACACAUUCCUGCAGAGCCUUUUUUGGUUGGUGUGUAACAGCUGCAUGGGAGCAAACAGAUACUUCCUUCUGCAUUUAGAAUAAUUCUGCUCCAAUAGAUGCAAAACCCAAAAUCUUUCUGAAUGUACUUAGCUCUCAGCCUUGCUAAUCUUUUUAAUGCAAUUCACAUUUUCCACUGAUUUUUUUCUUUAAGUGUAAAAUGUAUGUGCUCAUUAAGCACACAUCUUUCCUUACCUGAAUUUUUCCAGCAGAGACCAGAUGCACUCCAAGAAAUGCCAAAAGAAUAUAUUAUUUGCACAGUUUUACUAAUCAAGACCAAGACAAGAAAAAUAAGUGGACUCUGAGCAGCAGACUUCCAUGCCUGUAUCACUGCCCAAGUAAACUGAACCCACAAUCAGAGAUUUUUUCGUAUUUCCCACUCCUCCUAAAAGAUAUAACAUUUCACAGAAAAGCCUGAAGUCAUCUGUUGAUAGAUCAGUACAUACAUUGUGCAUUUCUGUGUUUUGAAGUGAUAUCCUUAAUCUUCAUUUGAAAAGGAACUGAAAAAUAUUAAUGUCAAAAGAGAAAAUCACCAUCCUUGGCAGAGAAUUACAAAUGUCUUCAUUACAGUUUGUUUUCUGUUUAAAACAAACGUGUUUCUGUUCAGGUUCUCAGACCUUGCUAUUUCACUGCAGGAAAAGCACGUUAUAGAGAAAAACAGCAAGUGAAACUGAAAUUAAGAACUGGUUAAGAUGGAAAUAUUUUCAUUGAAAUACAAAUGUAUUUGAAUUCCUCCCUUAAAUUUGUGUUCCCAGUUCGGUAAAACCAAGCACGUUAUUCAAGGCCUUUGCAAAUGUAAGUGGUUCCUCUUCCCAGGAAUUCCAAAGGCCCCUGAGGGAAAAAUAAAUGAGCUGUUCUGUGCAGAUGACAUUCCUUUGGGCUGAUGGAGGCCGCUGUCAGAGAUCUAGCUGUUAGGUGUCAGUAAAAUUUCACACAUGCAUGACACUAUGCUAGUGAUUUCUUAAUCAGUAAACACCCCAUUUAGAAGAUAAUUACAAACUCCCCAAAUCCCAUAAUUAAAUGGGUUCUUGACUUAAUGCUAAGAAUUGAUGGGCCUAAUUUUCAUUUCACUUACAGGCUUUAUAUCCAUGUAAUUUUAAUGGAUUUUAGUUAAAC
This 2287-nucleotide long non-coding RNA is filed under the name Gallus gallus (chicken). Lineage: Eukaryota; Metazoa; Chordata; Aves; Galliformes; Phasianidae. The record is from RNAcentral.